Molecule: long non-coding RNA, 2192 nt
Organism: Aotus nancymaae (Ma's night monkey)
Lineage: Eukaryota; Metazoa; Chordata; Mammalia; Primates; Aotidae
Source: Ensembl
AUUAAAAUUAAAACAUGGGCCGGGCACGGUGGCUGAUGCCUGUAAUCCUAGUAUUUUGGGAGGCCAAGGCGAGUGGAUUGUCUGAGCUCAGGAGUUUGAGACCAGCCUGGGCAAUGCAGCCAAACCCUGUCUCUACUGAAAAAACACAAAAAAUUAGCUGAGUGGGGUAAUGUGCACCUGUAGUCCCAGCUAUUCAGGAGGCUGAAGCAUGAGAACUGCUUGAACCUGGGAGGCAGUGGUUACAGUGAGCUGAGAUCAUGCCACUGGACUCCAGUCUGGGUGACAGAGUGAGAAUCUAUCUCAAAAAAAAAAGCAAAUAAAAUAAAAUUAUAACAGGCAAACUGUUAUUGGCUAGGUAACUCCUAUGUUGAAUAAACAAAGCUGAUAUAUAAAGAAUUCUGAGGUGUGCUUCACAGGUCAUCACACACAGCUUCUGGCCUUCUGCUGGGGUCUGGCCCAGCCCUGUGCUUGGGUAAGGACAGAAGGCUCUGGGUGAUGCCCCGUGAAGGAGAACCCAGCAGCUGGGCGUUGUCUUUUGUGUGGUGGUGCUAACGCUUAUCCACUGGUCUCAUGACUGGCUCUGCUUUGCUGCACAGCUCUGUCUCUCACUCCGUGCUGUCUGAGAUGCAGGUGAUUGAGCAGGAAACCCCAGUGAGUGCAAAAUCUUCUCGCUCGCAGCUGGACUUGUUUGAUGAUGUUGGUACUUUCGCCUCUGGACCCCCCAAGUACAAGGACAACCCCUUUUCCUUAGGAGAAAGCUUUGGUUCCCGCUGGGAUACAGAUGCUGCCUGGGGUGUGGACAGGGUAGAGAAGGAGCCAGAAGUGACAAUCUCAAGCAUCCAGCCUAUUUCAGAACGGGCCACAAACCGGAGGGAGGUGGAGAGCCAGAGCACAGGCCUUGAGUCUAGUGAGGCGCGUCAGAAAUUCGCAGGAGCCAAAGCCAGCUCAUCUGACAUGUUCUUUGGGCGGGAGGUGGAUGCUGAGUAUGAGGCUAGGUCUCGGCUGCAGCAGCUCUCAGGCAGCAGUGCCAUCAGCUCUUCAGACCUCUUUGGGGACAUGGACGGAGCUCACGGAGCAGGAAGUGUAUCUCUGGGGAACGUGCUGCCUACAGUGGACAUUGCCCAGUUUAAGCACGGUGUCAAGUCUGUGGCUGGGAAAAUGGCUGUGCUGGCCAAUGGUGUGAUGAAUUCCUUGCAGGAUCGCUACGGUUCCUACUGAUCCAAGCUCUGUGACUCAGGCGUACGGUGGUGACAGUAGCAAGAACUCCACAGAUCCCAGGCCGUGGAUGCUUGCCUUGUGAAAGCUGGGGAGGAUUUGUUACUUUGUAUGUGUGGUGUGUGCGUGGGGUAGCCUUUGAGGCCACCUGUGAGGGGAAUGGUCAGUACCAGCCCUUGUCCUCUGCCUGUGGACUGAGCCCCUUCUUCCCCCCACACACAAACCGUGUGUUCACCUCUUGUCCUUCUGUCCUGCCCCGACAGCUGCUGCUCACUUGUCCUGCCACACUGGGAGAGGGGUUCCCCCAGGAUGGCUUAUUCUGGGUCCAGCCUUUCCACAAGUAGGGAAAGUGGAAGGUAGAAGGUUUUGCUGGCUCUAGGGUUCUUCUAGCUCAAGGGCUUGGGCCUCCAUCCUCCAGAACCGGGGGAGGCCUGGAAGGAGUUCACUGUAGACCCAUCCUCUGGGGAAAGAGGCUGCGGACUUGUUGCUGCUGCUGUCAGUGGCCUCUUCUGGGUGCCAGGAGAGGGUGAGGGAGAGGAAGGACCUUUGUCUGGGCUUUACUAAGGGCUGGGAACUUUACCUGAUACCUAAAGGUUUCAUUCAAGAUCAGACUGGAGGCCUGAGUGGUCUCCCGUCUCACCACCACUUUCUACAGUAAGCACUUGGAAGAUGACUUCCAGGAGUCUCAGGGUCCUUCUGUACCAUCUACUGUGGGCCACAGGACCCUCUGUGACAUUCUGUGUCCCUUCUUCCCCUGGUUGGUGGCCACUGAGGGUCUGGUCUGCUGUGUGUCAACUCUGGAUGCUGUGAGCUGAUGCUGGCCAGGGAAGCAGAUGGUGUGAGGGGCAGAGGCAGGCUCCUGGGGCUCAGCUCCUUCCUCUGCAUCAUUCUGGGCUUGGGGGCCUGGACAGCACCCGCCAGUGAGAGCUUGCGGGCCUCGCCCUCUGGGAGCUGAGCCAUGCACUGUGCCAUUCUUG